This 384-nucleotide ribosomal RNA is filed under the name uncultured bacterium. Its description in RNAcentral is "bacterial SSU rRNA". It matches the Rfam family "Bacterial small subunit ribosomal RNA", at positions 30 to 416 of the family's 1533-position model. The record is from RNAcentral.
AUUGAACGCUGGCGGCAUGCCUUACACGUGCAAGUCGAACGGCAGCACGGGGCAACCUGGUGGCGAGUGGCGAACGGGUGAGUAAUGCAUCGGAACGUGCCAUUGAGAGGGGGAUAACGUAGCGAAAGUUGCGCUAAUACCGCAUAUUCUGUGAGCAGGAAAGCAGGGGACCGCAAGGCCUUGCGCUCUUUGAGCGGCCGAUGUCAGAUUAGCUAGUUGGUGAGGUAACGGCUUACCAAGGCGACGAUCUGUAGCGGGUCUGAGAGGAUGAUCCGCCACACUGGAACUGAGACACGGUCCAGACUCCUACGGGAGGCAGCAGUGGGGAAUUUUGGACAAUGGGCGCAAGCCUGAUCCAGCCAUGCCGCGUGAGUGAAGAAGGCC